Hemicordylus capensis (graceful crag lizard) is the source of this 4097-nucleotide long non-coding RNA. RefSeq lists it as uncharacterized. The record is from RefSeq and is a predicted model, not a curated record. The transcript has 3 exons. Lineage: Eukaryota; Metazoa; Chordata; Lepidosauria; Squamata; Cordylidae.
CUGACAGCUUCUCCUGGUAGGGCUGGGAGAGACUCCUGCCUGAAAGGAGAAGCUUGGAGAAGCUGCAGCCAGUAACGGUAGACAUGGAGAAUGGUCUCACCCAAUAUAAGGCAUAGAUUGGUCUCACCCAACAACCUAGUCUGCCCAUCCCAUCAGGGGUCAUGUGAUUUGGUUUAGAAUCUUCGAAAGUCGGUGCCAGCAUUGCGGAAGUCAGCUGACCUGUGCAGCUGUUGUGUUGGUAGACGCAUAUGAACAACUUGGUAGACUGACCACAUGGAAAACAGCAUGUAGCCAAAGAUUCUGCAAUCCCUGAAUCAACACAGCAAGACGAAGGAGGAGGCAACGCUGGGAGGAGAAGGCAACGCUGCAAGGGCUGAACUUCUUGGCAAAUAUGCCCAGAUGGCACCGCACCCUCGCAGAGAGAGAAGGUCAGCUAGCUGAAUAUUUAAAAAAGAAAAGGAUUCUUGUACAACUAUCCAGUCUCCUGUGCCCUGUGCUUCAGGGCUUUUGCCCUAAAAGUCAACACCUCAAGUGGCAACUUUGCUGAGGUCAGGAGGAACCUCAUUUCACCAUGAGCAGUGCCACACUGAAAGCCACCCAUGGCCCCAGUUCAUGCUGAACCUACAAUUGGCAUGUUCACAAAACAGUGCAGUGGGAAAAGAGGCCCAAUAGGGCAGGAGUUUCUUAGCAGUGGGCAGCAGCACCCAUAGGCCACCCAUAAUUCUAGGAGAGCUGGUCUUGUCGUAGCAAGCAUGACUUGUCCCCUUAGCUAAGCAGGGUUCACCCUCGUUGCAGAUGAAUGGGAGACUAGAAGUGUGAGCACUGUGAGAUAUUCCCCUCAGGGGAUGGAGCCGCUCUGGGAAGAGCAUCUAGGUUCCAAGCUCCCUCCCUGGCAGCAUCUCCAAGAUAGGGCUGAGAAAGAUUCCUGCCUGAACCUUGGAGAAGCCAUUGCCAGUCUGUGUAGACCAGGGAUUCUCAGUGUUGGGUCUUUAAAUGCUAUUGGACUUCAACUCCCAUAAACCCCAACCAAAGGCCACUGGGACUGGAGAUUAUGGGAGUUGAAGUUCAAUAACAUCUGGGAUCAUCUGGGGAUUCUUAACACAAUAAUGUUGAGAAUCCCUGGUGUUGACAAUACUGAGCUAGAUAGACCAAUGGUCUGACUCAGUAUAUGGCAGCUUCCUAUGUUCCUAUGACACUGUUAAGGGAACCACAGUGACCCCACUGCAUGGAGGAUGCGACUGAACGAGUGCACCAAUGACCUUUACUGCUGCUGCUUCUAUGGCUUCUCACAAAGUGCCUGCAUGUAUGCACAUUACAGUCUGAUUACGGUAUACACGUUCUUCUGCCCCAGACCCAAUGCGGUAUGCUCACAGGCAGCUCCUGGAAAUUUUUCACACCCGGCAUUUUGUCCGCACCUCCUCCACAAUGGAGUGUGCACAUUCACAUAUCAGUCAAAUUUACCCUGAAAUCUCUGUGAGCUAUCAGGUAGUACGCCACACACAAUUCAGGUUUUUCAUUGGCCAUUAAGGAUGUAGCCUGAUUUAUAUCCAGGGUUAAAAAAAUCCAUAUUUUUUGCAUUGGUUUUUGGGGGCUACUUCGAACUCGCAGUAAAGCCUUGCAGAAACCUUGCGUUAAAGCCUUCUGUUUAGAAAAGCUCCUACCCUUUUCAGAAACUCCUGGGUGCUUUCCAGGUUACACGCUAUAACAGCGGUAGUUUACUGUGGCUCUUUUUUUGGGGCAAUGUUUGGCAAUGUUGUAGCACCGCAACGCAAAGAUAAAGCCCGAAAGAAGGCAUCGGGAAUGCGAACGGCACCUUGCUGGCAGUGCAGGGACUGCGAUGUCAAAACACAGGCAGUACAGAAGCACACUUAAUGGACAUGUAGUGACACUGCCGUAGCGUGUCAUCUGGAAAGCAGCCUGGCAAACUGUGUCCUGCACAUAGGCAUUUCCUAAAGCGAGACUGUGCUGCUCACAUGUAGCAACGGAGAUCAGGCAUUGAGAUUGCUAGACUGGGACAUGGGGAGGCCAGACGGUUUAGGUUCUCGGUCCUCUUCUUUUCCACCCAUGCAGCCUUGUCCUCAAACCAGAAUCAGGACUUCUGCAAGGGCAGUCCUUGCAGCAUCUCCAACAGUGCUGAGUCCGUCAUCCCUUAACACCCCUUUUCUAAUCCUGCAGGUUCCAUAGGAGACACUUUGACACAGCAGGAUUAUCUAUUUGGCUGUGCAUUAGGCCUAGCGACACAGCAGUAUAAUAAUGAUGCUAAUUAAGAGUAUUCGUUAAUAUCUUUAAAUUACCUGUGUUAGCUCCCAGGCAAAACAUCCCAGUAGCAACCGCGGUGGCAUGGACCCAUUUGCAUCAGCGACUGACAUUAUGUUCAUUUCACAGUUCAUUAGAACGCUCCAGAGUGAUUGUGUCCCCAAAUUGCAAGCUAAUCCAAAAGAGCGGGGCCUGCUGUCUACUGGGUGUUUGUCCUCAACAAAGAAGUGAGCAAGGAGAAACUGUAAGGACACAUUCCAUUUAGGAAUGUAGGAAGCUUCUUUAUGCUGAGUCAGACUAUUGGUCAAUCUGGCUCAGGACUGUCUACAUCGACUGGCAGAGGCUUCUCCAAAGCUGCAAGCAGGAGUCUCGCUUAGUCCUAUCUUGGAGAUGCUGCCAGGGAGGGAACUUGGAACUUUCUGCAUGCAAGCAAGCAGGUGCUCUUCCCAGGGCAGCCCCAUCCCCUAAGGGGAAUAUCUUACAGGGCUCACAUGUCUCCCAUUCAAAUGCAAACCAGGGCAGACCCUGCUUAGCAAUGGGGACUAUUCAUGCUUGCUACCACAAGAUCACCUCUCCUCCCUUUCUUUGUUCUCCUAGGUUCCCCUGUGCCCUACAGGCACUUCCGAAGGGCCACGCUUUGUGCCCUCUUGCUAUCUGCUUGCAACACAAUAGAACUUGGAUUGUCGUCAACUUUCUUGGGGGUGUAUACAGCAGACUAUUGGCCAAGUUGUAAUUUACAGGGAGCCCCUAUGAGUAGACCGCUACCUAUGUUGGCAUGGGAGAUAUUGCAGCUAGUGCUUCUCCCAUACCGCUCUGGCAACACUGGAGGAUCUGGACAAAGAAAUUAAUCCAUGUUUUAGAGGCCUCAUUUUGCCUCCUUCCCAUGGCUGCACUGCUCAUUUGGAAACAGGAGCAACAAGAUGACCUAAUAGGCUGCUAGCCAGAGGACGAGCUAAAACCAUACAAGCCACGUUCUCACGAUGAGGACAGUCGUGGUUAAAGAGUUAACAGUGAUGGGCAAGCCACAUGAGCUCCCAUGGAUUAUGAAUUGAGAACCUGGGCACUUUCCAGAUUACAUGCUAUUCAGCAGCAGUUUACUUCGGUUUGGCAGGAUCAUCUUGAAAACCAUAAAUUAAGGGGUGUUGUGCAAAGCCACCAGCAGGAGAAGGAGUCUUUUCUAGUGUGUGAGAACCUCCUACAAUGGGAAAAUACAGCUAUUUUUUUACAAUGUUGCAGUACUGUAACGCAAAGACAAAACCCAAAAGGCGGCACUGGAAAUGUGAACGGCAUCUUGCUGACAGCACAGGGACUGUGAUGUCGAAACAAAGGCAGUACGGAAGAACACUUAAUGGACACGUAGUGACACUGUUGUAGUGUCAUCUGGAAAGUGUCUUGGAAUUCCCGGGCUAUCCCAGUUGAAUCACUGAGGUUAACCAGCAUUUACUGCAGUAGAUAACCAGGAUCAGAACUUUCUCAUCAUGAGAACACCACCACCCAAAGCUCAACCUAUGAAAUGGAAUCAAAAGCUGCCUUCAAGGCUACAAAGGCAGCAUAUAAAGAGGUCGCACCUUGUUGUUUUCGGACUCAGAGUUUGUAAUUACAGCUAUUGUUGCUAAAUGCUGUGCUGCCGCCAUAGAUAUACGUCACUGGAUGGUUAAUAAGAAAAUUUUAUUGUUUUAGUUUUUAUUAUUACUAUGUUUCCAAUAUUGUUAAAAAAAUUAAUUAAUUUUAAUUUUAACUGUUUUAAUCAUAUCUACUCUAUUUACUGCUGUAUAACUGUAAUCUUUUUAUUUUGUUUUGGCUUGUGGCCAUAACAUUAAAGGUUCUGAUUCUGAGAACAC